Long non-coding RNA from Medicago truncatula (barrel medic), 350 nucleotides. RefSeq lists it as uncharacterized. NCBI's taxonomy places the organism in Eukaryota, Viridiplantae, Streptophyta, Magnoliopsida, Fabales, Fabaceae. The record is from RefSeq and is a predicted model, not a curated record. The transcript is spliced from 3 exons.
CAAAACAGUGUUCUCUUUCUCAGAACCACCGUGCUCAACGUUCCCAAUCCGAACUUUAAACCAUCAAACACUGUUUAGGAUCGCAGCAAAUGAAAUCAAGAAAAAGGGUUAUAAUUUUUCUCAAUCCAAACUCAUCUUUCUCAAUUCAAGAAUGAAAUUGAGGAAAAAUUUUAAGAUGUGGCCAAACCUUAUUCAAAAAUUGGAGGACUUUAUGUCAUCGAAACUAUGUUUCUGAACUUACAUGAACCAGUUAACCAGUUAAAGGGGAAUCAAAGUAAGGUGAUGUUUGAGGAGGGAGAUGCAGCGAUGCAGUUAUCGUUGUGCGGCGAGAAUCGUGGCGGUGAAUGCAA